GUCCCACUGGGUUUUCCUUGCAAGGUUUUUAACGAGGCAACCAAUAAGCGCAUAUUCAAACAUGUGUACUCUUUUUCCUUUUCUAUAAUUUUUUUCCUAUUGGGUUUUGUUUUAGUUAAGGUUUUAACGAGGCACAUUAUUGAAUAGACAUUCAAGGGUGAGUGUUAUAAAAUCUCCUAUUUUAGGUGAAUGUCCAUAAUUAGUGAGAUUCUAGGGUUUACUUCUCCCUAUAAAUAAAGGGGUCUUCUACCAUUGUAAACCAUCCC
RNAcentral lists this long non-coding RNA (266 nucleotides) under Nicotiana benthamiana. RNAcentral describes it as "long non-coding RNA (NBEN_LNC032742)". The record is from RNAcentral. Lineage: Eukaryota; Viridiplantae; Streptophyta; Magnoliopsida; Solanales; Solanaceae.